UUUCUUAUUCACUUUUCAAUUAUUGGUUAACUAGUGAAUAGUUUUUGCGAGAAAUCUGUACAUCUUACAUGUCUGUUAAGAAUAUAUCUCAUGGCAAGUGUAUGUGUAAAUACAUAAAUAAAUGAACAUCUCAUUUUCUUGUCACAGAACCACCAGAAGUACCAGCAAUAGACCAAGAGAGAAAACACCUGGAAGACAAGGAAAACAAGGAAAAGUACAAAUCGUACAUUAAAGUUUCAAGAUGGACUGUACAACCCACAUGUAGCAAAAUUCAUGUCCAUGAGAGUCUGUUCAACAAACCAAACAAAUUACCAGCUAACCAUGCUAACAGGGCAAAGAAACCACUUUCAUGCAAGAGGAAACUAUUCGCGUCUGAAGUUUCCAAACAAGAAA
Mytilus californianus (California mussel) is the source of this 393-nucleotide long non-coding RNA. RefSeq lists it as uncharacterized. NCBI's taxonomy places the organism in Eukaryota, Metazoa, Mollusca, Bivalvia, Mytilida, Mytilidae. The transcript is spliced from 3 exons. The record is from RefSeq and is a predicted model, not a curated record.